AAGUCGUAACAAGGUUUCCGUAGGUGAACCUGCGGAAGGAUCAUUACCGAGUGUAGGGUUCCUAGCGAGCCCAACCUCCCACCCGUGUUUACUGUACCUUAGUUGCUUCGGCGGGCCCGCGCCCGCCGGAGACACCACGAACUCUGUCUGAUCUAGUGAAGUCUGAGUUGAUUGUAUCGCAAUCAGUUAAAACUUUCAACAAUGGAUCUCUUGGUUCCG
RNAcentral lists this unclassified non-coding RNA (219 nucleotides) under Aspergillus bombycis. RNAcentral describes it as "partial internal transcribed spacer region". The stretch from base 1 to 46 matches the Rfam family "Eukaryotic small subunit ribosomal RNA", at positions 1786 to 1831 of the family's 1831-position model. Lineage: Eukaryota; Fungi; Ascomycota; Eurotiomycetes; Eurotiales; Aspergillaceae. The record is from RNAcentral.